This 482-nucleotide unclassified non-coding RNA is filed under the name Candida albicans. RNAcentral's name for it is "sequence contains 18S rRNA gene, ITS1, 5.8S rRNA gene, ITS2, 28S rRNA gene". The stretch from base 129 to 282 matches the Rfam family "5.8S ribosomal RNA". The record is from RNAcentral. Lineage: Eukaryota; Fungi; Ascomycota; Pichiomycetes; Serinales; Debaryomycetaceae.
AAUUGCACCACAUGUGUUUUUCUUUGAAACAAACUUGCUUUGGCGGUGGGCCCAGCCUGCCGCCAGAGGUCUAAACUUACAACCAAUUUUUUAUCAACUUGUCACACCAGAUUAUUACUAAUAGUCAAAACUUUCAACAACGGAUCUCUUGGUUCUCGCAUCGAUGAAGAACGCAGCGAAAUGCGAUACGUAAUAUGAAUUGCAGAUAUUCGUGAAUCAUCGAAUCUUUGAACGCACAUUGCGCCCUCUGGUAUUCCGGAGGGCAUGCCUGUUUGAGCGUCGUUUCUCCCUCAAACCGCUGGGUUUGGUGUUNGAGCAAUACNACUUGGGUUUGCUUGAAAGACGGUAGUGGUAAGGCGGGAUCGCUUUGACAAUGGCUUAGGUCUAACCAAAAACAUUGCUUUGCGGCGGUAACGUCUACCACGUUAUAUCUUCAAAACUUUUGACCUCAAAUCAGGUAGGACNUACCCCCCUGAACUAAC